UUUAUCAUCAAAGUUUUGCCCAGGCUGGGAUUUUUAAAGCGGUACCCGCAACUUCCCCUGCCCUAGAGCGCAGGUAGGGGGCGGGAUGGGGUGGAGGAAGCCACCCCAGAGACCCGGUUCCGGCAAAGCAUAACACAAUUAGCUUCAGAAACAGAAACACUAUUCAGCGGGAUAAGGAGGAAAACCAACCCACCUGCCGCCAGACGCAGCGCGCUCAGAGGGACUCCGCAACUUUGCUGGCAGGGCGGUGCCAGGGUCAGGGGUGCACUUGGGGGUGGAGGCGAGGGUGAGGGAGGGUAGGAACCUGGGCUGAGGCCCAGGAGACCUGGUUUGAGCCCUGCCGCAGCCUUGGGCUCCCUGUGUGAUCGUGUCUGCGUGUCUCCUCCUCUCUGAACCUCAUGAUCUUCAUCUGAGAAAUGGGAAUAACAGCUACCUCCAGGGAUCGUGGCCUUCUUCCCAACACGGCCAUGUCCGCCGCGGGUUCAGCACCACGGAGGAGGACAGCGCCAACCCCGACGCCGAUCUUUUCCGCCUCGUGGACGGCGCCUCGGCUGCCUCUCAGAUGCGAGGAUUCAGCACCGUGGACAGAGCCCCCGCCCCCCGGCCCCGCCGAAUGGGAGCAUCGCAGACGGCCCACUCCCCGCUCCAGACCACAGAUAAGGAAACUGAAGCUCAGAGAGAUGAAGUAACCUGUACAAGGUGCACAAUGAGGUGGGCAGAGGCUGGAUGUGAAAGGAUGAAUCCUCAGGCCGUAUGUUCCCCUGUGUAAUUCUGUCUCUUUCCUGCUUCACUGAUCCAAGCGCAAACAGCAGGCACAGUGGAAGGUUAGGGCCCAGUGGAGGCAGGAGGUAAACAGACUAUCCUGGGAAAUCGUCUCUAGGAAUUCUCUGGGGGGGCCAUGACUCUUGUCACUCCUUCACUCUGGGAAUGCUCCAGGCGAUAGUAAGCUUCCCACCCCUGGAGGCAAUUAAACAAGCAUCUGGUGGUCUCAUGGAUGCCACGAGGCAAAUAUCACUGCAAUUUCCAUCACCCAAAUGAGGCUCAGAAGGUGAACACCGUGUCAAGUAUUUCAGCUGGGAAAGCUGACCUUUUUCAAGUUGCUCCCCAGCAGGGAAUCUCGCACUGUCCUCUCCCCCUGACCCAAGCUUCCUGGAGAGUCUCCACCCUCCCCUUGACUACCGGAGGCCACCCUCCCUCCCCCUCGUGAGAGGUGUCACUUGAGCACCACGGCUCUGUCAGUGUAACAGCCAUAAGAUUUGUCCUUUUAAUCCAGAAUCAAUAACAAAUUUCAUUUAAAAAUAAAUUAAACCAGGCAUUGGAAAUCAUUCACCGUGUGGGCCAGGGCCCUAUAUAGCGCCGUCUAAAUGGCUUCCUUUCGCUCAUCUAUCACUGCCAAGAGGGGGGAAAUACCUAAGCUGCCUGAUUCAUGGAGAAAGUACUUAAAUGUAUCAGCCCCUAACAAUGAGCAAUGUGAGCCCGGAGUCGCACCUUUUAACACACCAAUGACAUGUGGAGCGCAGACUCAUGAGAGCUUAUCAGAGACCCCACAGUCACUGGCUUUGAGGGAACCCAUUUACAAGGGGGAACAAUGGCUUCAGUAUGGAGCCGCCUAAUUUCCAGAAUGCAUUACUGAGCUCAGAGGAGCAAUGGAAUUCUAUUAAACUCUUAUCUGCCAUGGGAGGGUAUGAGACCGGCAGGGAAACCCAGACUUGGCAUAGACGUGCCCAGGAAACACCGGGGCUGGCCCUAGGAGGUGGGGGAACAAACCCGGGUUUGGGGGGG
Non-coding RNA from Equus caballus (horse), 1782 nucleotides. Lineage: Eukaryota; Metazoa; Chordata; Mammalia; Perissodactyla; Equidae. The record is from RefSeq and is a predicted model, not a curated record.